This is a long non-coding RNA of Argiope bruennichi, 507 nucleotides long. RefSeq lists it as uncharacterized. The record is from RefSeq and is a predicted model, not a curated record. The transcript is spliced from 3 exons. Lineage: Eukaryota; Metazoa; Arthropoda; Arachnida; Araneae; Araneidae.
UUUUAAAGUCAGACUGUUAAGCGUGUGGAGAAAAUACUCAGCCGGAAGGUAAUAAGCAUUAAGCAAACUUGAGCAGUCUGGCCGCUUUUAAAUGCCUCAACAGGAAAUUUAUUCUUGGAACGUGGUUUGGACUUGGCAUUUGAUUUUCACUCAACCCCAGUGCAGCCAAUCAAUGCCAUCAACGAAUACGUGAACGCAUGCAUUCGUUUCUUGGAAUGAUUUGCUGAUAGGUUUGCUUCGGUAUGAGCGGGUUGUUGGAAGAUGCAAAUGCUGUGGUGGAAAUGCAUUACGCAUCAGUCGAGUCUCGAAAGCCAUUUGAAAGAGAUGGAGGCUUUAAGUAUCGAAAGCACGAAUUCCUAUUCAACAGUUAUGUGAAAGGAAACUUCAUCUCUGGCUAAACAAGACCUUGAACAGACACCUUUUUGGAAUAUGCAGCUUAUUUACUACCCGAAGAAUCGUUCUUCGUUACUGCAAGGCUCCCUUCGAAGGUUAACAGUAACCAUCCGA